Lupinus angustifolius (narrow-leaved blue lupine) is the source of this 106-nucleotide non-coding RNA. Lineage: Eukaryota; Viridiplantae; Streptophyta; Magnoliopsida; Fabales; Fabaceae. The record is from Rfam.
AAACCAUGAUGAGGGCAAGCUUCAGUUAGCUCAUUUCAUCAUUCCCAUACCUCAACAAUUGAUUCUCCAUCCUUUUGACUAAAAUUUGCGAUGAGAUGCCUAUAAU